Molecule: transfer RNA, 74 nt
Filed under: Sus scrofa (pig)
Lineage: Eukaryota; Metazoa; Chordata; Mammalia; Artiodactyla; Suidae
Rfam family: tRNA
About the family: Transfer RNA (tRNA) molecules are approximately 80 nucleotides in length. Their secondary structure includes four short double-helical elements and three loops (D, anti-codon, and T loops). Further hydrogen bonds mediate the characteristic L-shaped molecular structure. tRNAs have two regions of fundamental functional importance: the anti-codon, which is responsible for specific mRNA codon recognition, and the 3' end, to which the tRNAs corresponding amino acid is attached (by aminoacyl-tRNA synthetases). tRNAs cope with the degeneracy of the genetic code in two manners: having more than one tRNA (with a specific anti-codon) for a particular amino acid; and 'wobble' base-pairing, i.e. permitting non-standard base-pairing at the 3rd anti-codon position.
Source: Rfam by way of RNAcentral
UCCCUGGUGGCUCAGAGGGUUAAGGGCCCAGUAUUGUCACUGCUGAAGUGCAGGUUCGAUCCCUGGCCCAGGAA